GGAGCGGACUGAAAGAAUCCGAAAGCGGUGGUUCAAACCUAACCCGUUGCACUACUGUCGUGCCUUCCCCUAGUACUAGCUUUACGCUUAUUUGGAGGGGGAAGGGGAAUAUUAGUCAACAUAAUAAACAUGGCUAAUAUUCUUU
Molecule: long non-coding RNA, 145 nt
Organism: Maniola jurtina (meadow brown)
Lineage: Eukaryota; Metazoa; Arthropoda; Insecta; Lepidoptera; Nymphalidae
Exons: 4
Source: RefSeq, a predicted model, not a curated record